GGGGGUGUAAAGGUUUCGAUUGCCGGUGAGCGGAAAGAUAAGCAUACCGCAGACGGAGUGGCUGCGUUAAAAACAUUCCGUAAAAUUUAAAUGCAGAUAACAAUGCAGAAUACGCCUUAGCGGCGUAACUUUGUUUUAAACAAAGCGUCGGCUUUCAUUUUUUCGUCGGUGAAAGACGCGGCGUAAAUCAAGACGAAAAAAUCUUUUUGUUCCGGCGGGAGGGGACGGAAAGAUUAAAAUUAUCCCGUGCGAAAGCGGCGGCGCGUUUACCCGCAACCGUUUUUUAAGAAUAAAGGCAAACUAAGUAUGUAGAAAGUUUUUUGGCAGCCGAGUAAGACGUGGGUUCGAUCCCCACCACUUCCACCA
Molecule: transfer-messenger RNA, 366 nt
Filed under: bovine gut metagenome
Rfam family: transfer-messenger RNA
About the family: Bacterial tmRNA, also known as 10Sa RNA or SsrA, is named for its dual tRNA and mRNA-like properties.
Source: RNAcentral